GAGGCUCCGACUUGAUCAGUAGGCAACCAACAUGCCACUAAUUAGGAGGCAUGAGGCGUAGCAGAGGAUGAUUAGCUCGUGAUGAGCACAUGCUGCCUAGAGUUGUCUUGUUACCAUUAUAAAUAGAUUAGAAAUCUGGGGAGCAUCUGUAUUCUCCCCUCACAGAGGAGAAUCUGAAAUUGACAGGUUAAAAUGAGAAUGUGUCAAGGAGAGCUUUGUAAUUGACAAAGAUUAACUUUAUUUCUCUCACCUCAUCUCUCUCCUCUUCUUCUCUUGGCACCCCACCCUCAGAAUAUCCCAGCUGCCAAUGGAAGAAGCCCAGCAAUUCUCUAAUUGAACCAUAAGAUUUUGGAAGGUCAGUGUAAGAAAACCAUUCUGGCGUUCCAAGGACCAGCCAGUCCUGGACCAUGGGCAGUGACAACCCUGCAACUUAAAAAAAAAAAUUCUCAACGUGGAAGUUGGGUUUUCUGCUCAUCACAAGGAUCAGUCAUCACCAUGAAGUAUUUUAGUGCUUUUCUAGAUAUGAGGCAGUAUAAGAAUUGGGCUCACAAAACCAGCUCUUGAAAAUAUCUAACUAUCUGAAGACCUGUUCUGCCAGGUUUUCCCAGAGCACCGACAAGCUCAUUUCUGCCCUCCAUCCUGAACUCCUUUCAGGGGGUGUUGUAGGCCAGCAGCUGCAGCAGCACGAUUUAAUCCUUGUAGAGGUAAAUGGCAGGCACCCAGGGCAUGUGCCAAUUAAUAGCCGACAACACUUUGCAAAAGAGAAUAUGCAAGAAAAGACCCUGUUGUGUAAGAAGAGGCUUCUAGGAGAGGCUCCA
Long non-coding RNA from Bubalus bubalis (water buffalo), 818 nucleotides. RefSeq lists it as uncharacterized. The transcript is spliced from 3 exons. The record is from RefSeq and is a predicted model, not a curated record. Lineage: Eukaryota; Metazoa; Chordata; Mammalia; Artiodactyla; Bovidae.